UGAGCAAUCUGCCCUUCACAUCGGAAUAACCAUUGGAAACGAUGGCUAAUACCGAAUAUGUCUUCGGAUCGCAUGAUCUGAAGUGGAAAGCUCCGGCGGUGAAGGAUGAGCUCGCGGCCUAUCAGCUUGUUGGUGAGGUAAUAGCUCACCAAGGCGAUGACGGGUAGCCGGCCUGAGAGGGUGACCGGCCACACUGGGACUGAGACACCGGCA
This 213-nucleotide ribosomal RNA is filed under the name uncultured bacterium. Its description in RNAcentral is "partial 16S ribosomal RNA". It matches the Rfam family "Bacterial small subunit ribosomal RNA", at positions 118 to 332 of the family's 1533-position model. The record is from RNAcentral.